GAAAGCCUGACGUAGCGACACCGCGUGAGCGAAGAAGCCCUUUGGGGUGUAAAGCUCUGUCAGCUGGAACGAAACAAAUGACGGUACCAGCAGAGGAAGCAUCGGCUAACUACGUGCCAGCAGCCGCGGUAAGACGUAGGAUGCAAGCGUUGUCCGGAUUUAUUGGGCGUAAAGAGUUCGUAGGCGGUUUGGUAAGUCUGAUGUUAAAGACCGAGGCUCAACUUCGGGACCGCAUUGGAUACUGCCAGACUGGAGUGUGGUAGAGGCUAGUGGAAUUCCUAGUGUAGCGGUGAAAUGCGUAGAUAUUAGGAAGAACACCAGUGGCGUAGGCGACUAGCUGGGCCAUAACUGACGCUGAGGAACGAAAGCCAG
Molecule: ribosomal RNA, 372 nt
Filed under: uncultured cyanobacterium
Lineage: Bacteria; Bacillati; Cyanobacteriota
Description: bacterial SSU rRNA
Rfam family: Bacterial small subunit ribosomal RNA
Source: RNAcentral